AAUAAGAGAAUGACAAAUCAGAUUUUUUUCUCCUGAUUUUCAGCUUUUUUCUCUUGAAAAAAUUCAAAUCAAACUAAAAACACUAAAAAUCAGGAAGAAAAAUUUGAUUUAUUAUUCUCCCAUU
This is a non-coding RNA of Gossypium raimondii (Peruvian cotton), 124 nucleotides long. The record is from Rfam. NCBI's taxonomy places the organism in Eukaryota, Viridiplantae, Streptophyta, Magnoliopsida, Malvales, Malvaceae.